RNAcentral lists this ribosomal RNA (503 nucleotides) under uncultured bacterium. RNAcentral's name for it is "partial 16S ribosomal RNA". It matches the Rfam family "Bacterial small subunit ribosomal RNA", at positions 29 to 523 of the family's 1533-position model. The record is from RNAcentral.
AUUGAACGCUGGCGGCAGGCCUAACACAUGCAAGUCGAACGGUAGCACAGAGAGCUUGCUCUCGGGUGACGAGUGGCGGACGGGUGAGUAAUGUCUGGGAAACUGCCCGAUGGAGGGGGAUAACUACUGGAAACGGUAGCUAAUACCGCAUAGCGUCGCAAGACCAAAGUGGGGGACCUUCGGGCCUCACACCAUCGGAUGUGCCCAGAUGGGAUUAGCUAGGAGGUGGGUAAUGGCUCACCUAGGCGACGAUCCCUAGCUGGUCUGAGAGGAUGACCAGCCACACUGGAACUGAGACACGGUCCAGACUCCUACGGGAGGCAGCAGUGGGGAAUAUUGCACAAUGGGCGCAAGCCUGAUGCAGCCAUGCCGCGUGUAUGAAGAAGGCCUUCGGGUUGUAAAGUACUUUCAGCGGGGAGGAAGGCGGUGAAGUUAAUAGCUUCACCGAUUGACGUUACCCGCAGAAGAAGCACCGGCUAACUCCGUGCCAGCCGCCGCGGUAA